GGCCAAGUAGCUCAGUUGGUAGAGCAGCGGACUGAAAAUCCGUGUGUCGGUGGUUCAAUUCCGCCCUUGGCCACCA
Molecule: transfer RNA, 76 nt
Filed under: Burkholderiales bacterium
Lineage: Bacteria; Pseudomonadati; Pseudomonadota; Betaproteobacteria; Burkholderiales
Also listed under: 6 other names
Description: tRNA-Phe
Rfam family: tRNA
About the family: Transfer RNA (tRNA) molecules are approximately 80 nucleotides in length. Their secondary structure includes four short double-helical elements and three loops (D, anti-codon, and T loops).
Source: RNAcentral